AAUCGUCAUCCAAUCAGAGGCGAUCUUCCGUUGUUUGUUUUUAUCAAUUUUGUAGGUUAGGUUUGCAUUUGAAUUUUGCAUUUUUCUCAAGUUCUUGAGCGUCUCUCCAUGUCUUUCCCAGACAGAAAUAACUGAUUUUUUUGAUCCGCGGACACUGUUUUUUCUUCCUACCCUCUCACAUCGGUAGGCGCUGUAACACUUAUCAAAUUUAGCACUCAUGAUUUUUAAGACCACUCAAUUCCUCAUCUGGUUGUGUUUUGCCGUGUUGAAAUCAAUUUGCCUCCAAAUGAAAUUACCUUGCACUGCUUCAGCAACCAUGGACAGCAGUUUUCAGCUACCUUUUGAUAUCUCUGAUAAGUUAUUUGACGGUCUUACAAAUGAUGUGGUCAUUGUAUCUGUCAUUGGAAAAUCCGCUCUUGGCUCUUCAACCAAGGUUAACUCUCUCUAUGACACUCUUGGCUCUCGCAUCUUCACAAAAAUUGAUUUCUCUAAUUUUCAAUCUGACAAAGAUAUAAUGUGUUGCAUAGACGGAUUCUAUGAUUCUGAACUGCAGACUAUUUUUUGCAACUUUGUGGAAGCCUAGAUGCUGACUAUUUGAUUUCCAGCUACCAAAAAUUAGGAACUGACUUGGAAGAGAAGGUAUAUUUCAAGUUUUAUUUAUGCACUUUAAAGUUUAAAAUUGCUGUCGGAAGCAAAAGCAUAGUUUGGUUUUGUUUGGUACCCAGUGA
RNAcentral lists this long non-coding RNA (728 nucleotides) under Bemisia tabaci. Its description in RNAcentral is "lncRNA ENSSSA3NGG011814". Lineage: Eukaryota; Metazoa; Arthropoda; Insecta; Hemiptera; Aleyrodidae. The record is from RNAcentral.